UAUCUGCACUAGGGGUGCGAAUUAGCUGAGAUGUGAGCAUUAGCUCCGAUCCCUUAUGACUCGAUCAGGAUAAUACCUGCGUGAGGAAGUGUAGUGACUUCUCU
This 104-nucleotide non-coding RNA is filed under the name Jeotgalibacillus malaysiensis. RNAcentral describes it as "TPP sequence". It matches the Rfam family "TPP riboswitch aptamer (THI element)". Rfam says of the family: Vitamin B(1) in its active form thiamin pyrophosphate (TPP) is an essential coenzyme that is synthesised by coupling of pyrimidine and thiazole moieties in bacteria. The previously detected thiamin-regulatory element, thi box was extended, resulting in a new, highly conserved RNA secondary structure, the THI element, which is widely distributed in eubacteria and also occurs in some archaea. Lineage: Bacteria; Bacillati; Bacillota; Bacilli; Caryophanales; Caryophanaceae. The record is from RNAcentral.